Molecule: ribosomal RNA, 542 nt
Filed under: uncultured archaeon
Lineage: Archaea
Description: bacterial SSU rRNA
Rfam family: Archaeal small subunit ribosomal RNA
Source: RNAcentral
CCUACCCUUAGGACCGGGAUAACCUUGGGAAUCUGAGGAUAAUACUGGAUAGGCAAUUAUUCCUGUAAUGGUUUUUUGUUUAAAUGUUUUUUCGCCUAAGGAUGAGUCUGCGGCCGAUUAGGUAGUUGGUUAGGUAAUGGCUUACCAAGCCGUUGAUCGGUACGGGUUGUGAGAGCAAGAGCCCGGAGAUGGAACCUGAGACAAGGUUCCAGGCCCUACGGGGUGCAGCAGGCGCGAAACCUCCGCAAUGUGAGAAAUCGCGACGGGGGGAUCCCAAGUGCCAUUCUUAACGGGAUGGCUUUUCAUUAGUGUAAAGAGCUUUUGGAAUAAGAGCUGGGCAAGACCGGUGCCAGCCGCCGCGGUAACACCGGCAGCUCUAGUGGUAACAAUUUUUAUUGGGCCUAAAGCGUCCGUAGCCGGUUUAAUAAGUCUCUGGUGAAAUCCUGUAGCUUAACUAUGGGAAUUGCUGGAGAUACUAUUAGACUUGAGACCGGGAGAGGUUGGAGGUACUCCCAGGGUAGAGGUGAAAUUCUGUAAUCCUG